CGAGCGAACAGACGAGGAGCUUGCUCCUCUGACGUUAGCGGCGGACGGGUGAGUAACACGUGGAUAACCUACCUAUAAGACUGGGAUAACUUCGGGAAACCGGAGCUAAUACCGGAUAAUAUAUUGAACCGCAUGGUUCAAUAGUGAAAGACGGUUUUGCUGUCACUUAUAGAUGGAUCCGCGCCGCAUUAGCUAGUUGGUAAGGUAACGGCUUACCAAGGCAACGAUGCGUAGCCGACCUGAGAGGGUGAUCGGCCACACUGGAACUGAGACACGGUCCAGACUCCUACGGGAGGCAGCAGUAGGGAAUCUUCCGCAAUGGGCGAAAGCCUGACGGAGCAACGCCGCGUGAGUGAUGAAGGUCUUCGGAUCGUAAAACUCUGUUAUUAGGGAAGAACAAAUGUGUAAGUAACUAUGCACGUCUUGACGGUACCUAAUCAGAAAGCCACGGCUAACUACGUGCCAGCAGCCGCGGUAAUACGUAGGUGGCAAGCGUUAUCCGGAACUAUUGGGCGUAAAGCGCGCGUAGGCGGUUUUUUAAGUCUGAUGUGAAAGCCCACGGCUCAACCGUGGAGGGUCAUUGGAAACUGGAAAACUUGAGUGCAGAAGAGGAAAGUGGAAUUCCAUGUGUAGCGGUGAAAUGCGCAGAGAUAUGGAGGAACACCAGUGGCGAAGGCGACUUUCUGGUCUGUAACUGACGCUGAUGUGCGAAAGCGUGGGGAUCAAACA
This 729-nucleotide ribosomal RNA is filed under the name uncultured Staphylococcus sp. Its description in RNAcentral is "bacterial SSU rRNA". It matches the Rfam family "Bacterial small subunit ribosomal RNA", at positions 63 to 774 of the family's 1533-position model. Lineage: Bacteria; Bacillati; Bacillota; Bacilli; Caryophanales; Staphylococcaceae. The record is from RNAcentral.